AUUGAACGCUGGCGGCAUGCCUUACACAUGCAAGUCGAACGGCAGCACGGGAGCAAUCCUGGUGGCGAGUGGCGAACGGGUGAGUAAUAUAUCGGAACGUGCCCGGUCGUGGGGGAUAACGUAGCGAAAGCUACGCUAAUACCGCAUACGAUCUACGGAUGAAAGCGGGGGAUCGCAAGACCUCGCGCGAUUGGAGCGGCCGAUAUCAGAUUAGGUAGUUGGUGAGGUAAAGGCUCACCAAGCCGACGAUCUGUAGCUGGUCUGAGAGGACGACCAGCCACACUGGGACUGAGACACGGCCCAGACUCCUACGGGAGGCAGCAGUGGGGAAUUUUGGGACAAUGGGCGCAAGCCUGAUCCAGCAAUGCCGCGUGCAGGAUGAAGGCCUUCGG
This 392-nucleotide ribosomal RNA is filed under the name uncultured bacterium. RNAcentral's name for it is "bacterial SSU rRNA". It matches the Rfam family "Bacterial small subunit ribosomal RNA", at positions 29 to 421 of the family's 1533-position model. The record is from RNAcentral.